RNAcentral lists this ribosomal RNA (274 nucleotides) under uncultured bacterium. RNAcentral describes it as "partial 16S ribosomal RNA". It matches the Rfam family "Bacterial small subunit ribosomal RNA", at positions 523 to 796 of the family's 1533-position model. The record is from RNAcentral.
AUACGAAAGGUGCAAGCGUUGUUCGGAUUUACUGGGCGUAAAGAGAUCGUAGGUGGUUUGUUAAGUUGGAUGUGAAAUCCCGGGGCUCAACCUCGGAACUGCAUCCAAAACUGGCAGACUUGAGUUCGGGAGGGGUAAGCGGAAUUCCGUGUGUAGCAGUGAAAUGCGUAGAUAUACGGAGGAACACCUGAGGCGAAGGCGGCUUACUGGACCGAUACUGACACUGAGGAUCGAAAGCGUGGGUAGCAAACAGGAUUAGAUACCCUGGUAGUCC